RNAcentral lists this unclassified non-coding RNA (170 nucleotides) under uncultured Asteromella. RNAcentral describes it as "sequence contains ITS1". The record is from RNAcentral. Lineage: Eukaryota; Fungi; Ascomycota; Dothideomycetes.
CAGAGUACUUUACACUCACAAACCCCUGUGAACUUACCACUAUUUGUUGCUUCGGCGGGCUGUAUCUCGUCGCCUCCUUCGGGGGGUGAGGUUAUGCGCUAAGGCUCGCCGAGGGUACUAAACUCUUAUUAUUUUACUGGUUUUUCUGAAUCUAAAAGAUAAAUAAAUCA